GCCGUUCUUAGUUGGUGGAGUGAUCUGUCUGGUUAAUUUCGAUAACGAACGAGACUCUCCCCUGCUAAAUAGUCGGUUGGAUCUUAUUACGCGAGUCGUGCACCAAGGUACUUGGCGGCUCGGUAAGUUCUGGUGUGCGUUGUGUGUGAUGCGUUCGCGUGUCGCGCCCGUGCAUCGGGACCCCGGUCGUUGGAGGCCUUGGAUCGUACACUCCAAGUCCGCCGUCAAAGAUAUAACUCUUCUUAGAGGGAUCCACGGCUCUGAAGCCGUCAGAGACUGAGAGCAAUAACAGGUCUGUGAUGCCCUUAGAUGCUCUGGGCCGCACGCGCGCUACAAUGCCGGGCACAGCAGGUCUAUUCCUGCUCCGAGAGGAGCGGGCAACCCUCUGAAAGCCCUUGAUCACACUCGCUUUAAGUAGCGAAUGGCGUGCUUGGGCCUGGGGCUUGCAAUUAUUCCCCACAAACGAGGAAUGCCUAGUAGCGGCGAGUCACUGAGCUCGCUGUGACUCAGUCCCUGCCCUUUGUACACCCCGCCCGUCGCUACUACCGAUUGGGUGUACCAGUGAGAGCCCUGUACUGGCGGCCGUUGCCUUCGGGCAAGCGGAUUCGACGGAAAGAGGUCCGAACUGGUGCACUUAGAGGAAGUAAAA
RNAcentral lists this ribosomal RNA (649 nucleotides) under Monocorophium tuberculatum. RNAcentral describes it as "SSU rRNA". It matches the Rfam family "Eukaryotic small subunit ribosomal RNA", at positions 1287 to 1787 of the family's 1831-position model. Lineage: Eukaryota; Metazoa; Arthropoda; Malacostraca; Amphipoda; Corophiidae. The record is from RNAcentral.